RNAcentral lists this ribosomal RNA (465 nucleotides) under uncultured bacterium. RNAcentral's name for it is "partial 16S ribosomal RNA". It matches the Rfam family "Bacterial small subunit ribosomal RNA", at positions 28 to 507 of the family's 1533-position model. The record is from RNAcentral.
GACGAACGCUGGCGGCGUGCUUAACACAUGCAAGUCGAACGGAAAGGCCCCUUUGGGGGUACUCGAGUGGCGAACGGGUGAGUAACACGUGAGUAACCUGCCCUUGACUUCGGGAUAACUUCAGGAAACUGGGGCUAAUACCGGAUAGGAAUCCUUGCUGCAUGGUGGGGGUUGGAAAGCUUCGGCGGUUUUGGAUGGACUCGGGGCUUAUCAGCUUGUUGGUGGGGUAGUGGCUUACCAAGGCUUUGACGGGUAGCCGGCCUGAGAGGGCGACCGGCCACAUUGGGACUGAGAGACGGCCCAGACUCCUACGGGAGGCAGCAGUGGGGAAUAUUGCACAAUGGGCGGAAGCCUGAUGCAGCAACGCCGCGUGCGGGAUGACGGCCUUCGGGUUGUAAACCGCUUUCAGCAGGGGCGAAGCUUGUGGUGACGGUACCUGCAGAAGAAGCACCGGCUAACUACGUG